Molecule: ribosomal RNA, 821 nt
Filed under: uncultured bacterium
Lineage: Bacteria
Description: bacterial SSU rRNA
Rfam family: Bacterial small subunit ribosomal RNA
Source: RNAcentral
UAGAGUUUCUUUCUGGCUCAGGAUGAACGCUAGCUACAGGCUUAACACAUGCAAGUCGAGGGGAAACGGCAGCUUAGCUUGCUAAGCUGGACGUCGACCGGCGCACGGGUGAGUAACGCGUAUCCAACCUUCCCUGAAGUAGGGAAUAAUCCGUAGAAAUGCGGUCUAAUGCCCUAUGUGGUUUGACGAUGACAUCAGAAUUAAAUUAAAGACUUGUCGCUUCAGGAUGGGGAUGCGUCUGAUUAGGCAGUAGGCGGGGCAACGGCCCACCUAGCCGACGAUCAGUAGGGGUUCUGAGAGGAAAGUCCCCCACAUUGGAACUGAGACACGGUCCAAACUCCUACGGGAGGCAGCAGUGAGGAAUAUUGGUCAAUGGCCGCGAGGCUGAACCAGCCAAGUAGCGUGCAGGAUGACGGCCCUAUGGGUUGUAAACUGCUUUUAUGCGGGGACAAAGUUCCUGACGUGUCAGGUUUUGCGGGUACCGCAUGAAUAAGGACCGGCUAAUUCCGUGCCAGCAGCCGCGGUAAUACGGAAGGUCCGGGCGUUAUCCGGAUUUAUUGGGUUUAAAGGGAGCGCAGGCCGUCGGUUAAGCGUGUUGCGAAAUGUAGGCGCCCAACGUCUGAAUUGCAGCGCGAACUGGCCGACUUGAGUACGCACAACGUUGGCGGAAUUCGCCGUGUAGCGGUGAAAUGCUUAGAUAUGGCGAAGAACUCCGAUUGCGAAGGCAGCUGACGGGGGCGCAACUGACGCUCAUGCUCGAAAGUGCGGGUAUCGAACAGGAUUAGAUACCCUGGUAGUCCGCACGGUAAACGAUGGAUGCC